RNAcentral lists this ribosomal RNA (1848 nucleotides) under Salmonella enterica. RNAcentral's name for it is "partial 23S ribosomal RNA". It matches the Rfam family "Bacterial large subunit ribosomal RNA", at positions 1103 to 2925 of the family's 2925-position model. Lineage: Bacteria; Pseudomonadati; Pseudomonadota; Gammaproteobacteria; Enterobacterales; Enterobacteriaceae. The record is from RNAcentral.
GGCUUAGAAGCAGCCAUCAUUUAAAGAAAGCGUAAUAGCUCACUGGUCGAGUCGGCCUGCGCGGAAGAUGUAACGGGGCUAAACCAUGCACCGAAGCUGCGGCAGCGACGCUGAUGCGUUGUUGGGUAGGGGAGCGUUCUGUAAGCCUGUGAAGGUGGCCUGUGAGGGUUGCUGGAGGUAUCAGAAGUGCGAAUGCUGACAUAAGUAACGAUAAAGCGGGUGAAAAGCCCGCUCGCCGGAAGACCAAGGGUUCCUGUCCAACGUUAAUCGGGGCAGGGUGAGUCGACCCCUAAGGCGAGGCCGAAAGGCGUAGUCGAUGGGAAACGGGUUAAUAUUCCCGUACUUGGUGUUACUGCGAAGGGGGGACGGAGAAGGCUAUGUUGGCCGGGCGACGGUUGUCCCGGUUUAAGCGUGUAGGUGUGUGUUCCAGGUAAAUCCGGUUCACUUUAACACUGAGGCGUGAUGACGAGGCACUACGGUGCUGAAGCAACAAAUGCCCUGCUUCCAGGAAAAGCCUCUAAGCAUCAGGUAACAUCAAAUCGUACCCCAAACCGACACAGGUGGUCAGGUAGAGAAUACCAAGGCGCUUGAGAGAACUCGGGUGAAGGAACUAGGCAAAAUGGUGCCGUAACUUCGGGAGAAGGCACGCUGACACGUAGGUGAAGUGAUUUACUCAUGGAGCUGAAGUCAGUCGAAGAUACCAGCUGGCUGCAACUGUUUAUUAAAAACACAGCACUGUGCAAACACGAAAGUGGACGUAUACGGUGUGACGCCUGCCCGGUGCCGGAAGGUUAAUUGAUGGGGUCAGCGCAAGCGAAGCUCCUGAUCGAAGCCCCGGUAAACGGCGGCCGUAACUAUAACGGUCCUAAGGUAGCGAAAUUCCUUGUCGGGUAAGUUCCGACCUGCACGAAUGGCGUAAUGAUGGCCAGGCUGUCUCCACCCGAGACUCAGUGAAAUUGAACUCGCUGUGAAGAUGCAGUGUACCCGCGGCAAGACGGAAAGACCCCGUGAACCUUUACUAUAGCUUGACACUGAACAUUGAGCCUUGAUGUGUAGGAUAGGUGGGAGGCUUUGAAGUGUGGACGCCAGUCUGCAUGGAGCCGGCCUUGAAAUACCACCCUUUAAUGUUUGAUGUUCUAACGUGGACCCGUGAUCCGGGUUGCGGACAGUGUCUGGUGGGUAGUUUGACUGGGGCGGUCUCCUCCUAAAGAGUAACGGAGGAGCACGAAGGUUGGCUAAUCCUGGUCGGACAUCAGGAGGUUAGUGCAAUGGCAUAAGCCAGCUUGACUGCGAGCGUGACGGCGCGAGCAGGUGCGAAAGCAGGUCAUAGUGAUCCGGUGGUUCUGAAUGGAAGGGCCAUCGCUCAACGGAUAAAAGGUACUCCGGGGAUAACAGGCUGAUACCGCCCAAGAGUUCAUAUCGACGGCGGUGUUUGGCACCUCGAUGUCGGCUCAUCACAUCCUGGGGCUGAAGUAGGUCCCAAGGGUAUGGCUGUUCGCCAUUUAAAGUGGUACGCGAGCUGGGUUUAGAACGUCGUGAGACAGUUCGGUCCCUAUCUGCCGUGGGCGCUGGAGAACUGAGGGGGGCUGCUCCUAGUACGAGAGGACCGGAGUGGACGCAUCACUGGUGUUCGGGUUGUCAUGCCAAUGGCACUGCCCGGUAGCUAAAUGCGGAAGAGAUAAGUGCUGAAAGCAUCUAAGCACGAAACUUGCCCCGAGAUGAGUUCUCCCUGAGACUUUAGGUCUCCUGAAGGAACGUUGAAGACGACGACGUUGAUAGGCCGGGUGUGUAAGCGCAGCGAUGCGUUGAGCUAACCGGUACUAAUGAACCGUGAGGCUUAACCUUACA